GGUCAAGCGAAUAAGCGCACACGGUGGAUGCCUAGGCGGUCAGAGGCGAUGAAGGACGUGGUAGCCUGCGAAAAGUGUCGGGGAGCUGGCAACAAGCUUUGAUCCGGCAAUGUCCGAAUGGGGAAACCCACUGCUUCGGCAGUAUCCUGCAGUGAAUUCAUAGCUGCUGGAAGCGAACCCGGUGAACUGAAAUAUCUAAGUAACCGGAGGAAAAGAAAUCAACCGAGAUUCCCUGAGUAGUGACGAGCGAACGGGGAACAGCCCUUAAGCUGGAAUGGCUUUAGAAAAACAAUCUGGAAAGAUUGGCCAUAGAAGGUGAUAGCCCUGUAUUUAAAAGGGCCACUCCAGUGAAGACGAGUAGGGCGGGGCACGUGAAACCCUGUCUGAAUAUGGGGGGACCAUCCUCCAAGGCUAAAUACUCCUGACCGACCGAUAGUGAACCAGUACCGUGAGGGAAAGGCGAAAAGAACCCCGGAGAGGGGAGUGAAAUAGAUCCUGAAACCGUGUGCGUACAAGCAGUAGGAGCUCGCAAGAGUGACUGCGUACCUUUUGUAUAAUGGGUCAGCGACUUACUGUUCGUGGCAAGCUUAACCGUAUAGGGGAGGCGAAGGGAAACCGAGUCUGAUAAGGGCGCAUAGUCGCGGGCAGUAGACCCGAAACCGGGUGAUCUAGUCAUGGCCAGGGUGAAGGUGCCGUAACAGGUACUGGAGGCCCGAACCCACGUCUGUUGCAAAAGACGGGGAUGAGCUGUGAUUAGGAGUGAAAAGCUAAUCGAACCCGGAGAUAGCUGGUUCUCCUCGAAAGCUAUUUAGGUAGCGCCUCGGACGAAUACUACUGGGGGUAGAGCACUGUUAUGGCUAGGGGGUCAUCGCGACUUACCAAACCAUUGCAAACUCCGAAUACCAGUACGUACUAUCCGGGAGACACACGGCGGGUGCUAACGUCCGUCGUGAAAAGGGAAACAACCCAGACCCACAGCUAAGGUCCCAAAUUCACUGCUAAGUGGAAAACGAUGUGGAAAGGCACAGACAGCCAGGAGGUUGGCUUAGAAGCAGCCACCCUUUAAAGAAAGCGUAAUAGCUCACUGGUCGAGUCGGUCUGCGCGGAAGAUUUAACGGGGCUAAGCAGUGAACCGAAGCUUGGGGUGCGUAAAACUUCGGUUUUAUGCGCGGUAGAGGAGCGUUCCGUAAGCCUGCGAAGGUGGAUUGAGAAGUCUGCUGGAGGUAUCGGAAGUGCGAAUGCUGACAUGAGUAACGAUAAUGCGGGUGAAAAGCCCGCACGCCGAAAGCCCAAGGUUUCCUUGCGCAACGUUAAUCGACGCAGGGUUAGUCGGUCCCUAAGGCGAGGGCGAAAGCCGUAGUCGAUGGGAAGCAGGUUAAUAUUCCUGCACCUCGCGUGAGUGCGAUGGAGGGACGGAGAAGGUUAGGUGUACCGGGCGUUGGUUGUCCCGGGGAAAGGCGGUAGGUUUGAAUCUUUGGCAAAUCCGGGAUUCUUUAAGACCGAGCACCGAGACGAGCCUUUAUGGCGAAGUCACUGAUACCACGCUUCCAGGAAAAGCUCCUAAGCUUCAGCUCACGAAGACCGUACCGUAAACCGACACAGGUGGGUAGGAUGAGAAUUCUCAGGCGCUUGAGAGAACUCGGGUGAAGGAACUAGGCAACAUGGCACCGUAACUUCGGGAGAAGGUGCACCCUUUUUGGUGGCUCAUGCGAGCUAUAGCUGAAGAGGGUCGCAGAAACCAGGCCGCUGCGACUGUUUAUCAAAAACACAGCACUCUGCAAACACGAAAGUGGACGUAUAGGGUGUGACGCCUGCCCGGUGCUGGAAGGUUAAUUGAUGGGGUCAGCCGCAAGGCGAAGCUCUUGAUCGAAGCCCCAGUAAACGGCGGCCGUAACUAUAACGGUCCUAAGGUAGCGAAAUUCCUUGUCGGGUAAGUUCCGACCUGCACGAAUGGCGUAACGACAGCGGCGCUGUCUCCACCCGAGACUCAGUGAAAUUGAAAUCGCUGUGAAGAUGCAGCGUUCCCGUGGCAAGACGGAAAGACCCCGUGAACCUUUACUAUAGCUUUACACUGAACGUUGAGUUCGUCUGUGUAGGAUAGGUGGGAGGCUAUGAAACUGUGGCGCUAGCUGCAGUGGAGCCAUCCUUGAAAUACCACCCUGUCGUGCUUGACGUUCUAACCUAGAUCCGUUAUCCGGAUCAGGGACCGUGUAUGGUGGGUAGUUUGACUGGGGCGGUCUCCUCCUAAAGAGUAACGGAGGAGCACGAAGGUACGCUCAGCGCGGUCGGACAUCGCGCACUGUGUGCAAAGGCAUAAGCGUGCUUGACUGCAAGAUCGACGGAUCAAGCAGGUACGAAAGUAGGUCUUAGUGAUCCGGUGGUUCUGUAUGGAAGGGCCAUCGCUCAACGGAUAAAAGGUACUCCGGGGAUAACAGGCUGAUACCGCCCAAGAGUUCAUAUCGACGGCGGUGUUUGGCACCUCGAUGUCGGCUCAUCACAUCCUGGGGCUGUAGUCGGUCCCAAGGGUAUGGCUGUUCGCCAUUUAAAGUGGUACGCGAGCUGGGUUCAGAACGUCGUGAGACAGUUCGGUCCCUAUCUGCCAUGGGCGUUGGAAGUUUGAGAGGGGCUGCUCCUAGUACGAGAGGACCGGAGUGGACGAACCUCUGGUGUUCCGGUUGUCACGCCAGUGGCAUUGCCGGGUAGCUAUGUUCGGAAGCGAUAACCGCUGAAAGCAUCUAAGCGGGAAGCGCGCCUCAAGAUGAGACUUCCCGGGGCACAAGCCCCCUAAAGGAACCAU
Molecule: ribosomal RNA, 2797 nt
Filed under: Xanthomonas nasturtii
Lineage: Bacteria; Pseudomonadati; Pseudomonadota; Gammaproteobacteria; Lysobacterales; Lysobacteraceae
Description: partial 23S ribosomal RNA
Rfam family: Bacterial large subunit ribosomal RNA
Source: RNAcentral